CCUACGGGAGGCAGCAGUGGGGAAUAUUGGGCAAUGGACGCAAGUCUGACCCAGCAACGCCGCGUGAAGGAAGAAGGCGCUCGGGUUGUAAACCUCCUUUUAGCGGGAAGAGCAGAAGACGGUACCCCUUGAAUAAGCUACGGCGAACUACGUGCCAGCAGCCGCGGCAAUACGUAGGUGCCAAGCGUUGUCCGGAUUUACUGGGUGUAAAGGGCGUGCAGCCGGGGAGACAAGUCAGAUGUGAAAUCCACGGGCUCAACCCGUGAACUGCAUUUGAAACUGUUUCCCUUGAGUGUCGGAGAGGUAAUCGGAAUGCCUUGUGUAGCGGUGAAAUGCGUAGAUAUAAUGAAGAACACCAGUGGCGAAGGCAGAGUACUGGACGAUAACUGACGGUGAGGCGCGAAAGCGUGGGGAGCAAACAGGAUUAGAUACCCGUGUAGUC
Molecule: ribosomal RNA, 442 nt
Filed under: uncultured bacterium
Lineage: Bacteria
Description: partial 16S ribosomal RNA
Rfam family: Bacterial small subunit ribosomal RNA
Source: RNAcentral